This 1054-nucleotide ribosomal RNA is filed under the name uncultured Actinomyces sp. RNAcentral describes it as "partial 16S ribosomal RNA". The stretch from base 1 to 852 matches the Rfam family "Bacterial small subunit ribosomal RNA". Lineage: Bacteria; Bacillati; Actinomycetota; Actinomycetes; Actinomycetales; Actinomycetaceae. The record is from RNAcentral.
AUUGAACGCUGGCGGCAGGUUAACACAUGCAAGUCGAGCGGGGAAGGGUAGCUUGCUACCUGACCUAGCGGCGGACGGGUGAGUAAUGCUUAGGAAUCUGCCUAUUAGUGGGGGACAACAUUCCGAAAGAGAGCUAAUACCGCAUACGCCCUACGGGGGAAAGCAGGGGACCUUCGGACCUUGCGCUAAUAGAUGAGCGUAAGUCAGAUUAGCUAGUUGGUGGGGUAAAGGCCUACCAAGGCGACGAUCUGUAGCGGGUCUGAGAGGAUGAUCCGCCACACUGGGACUGAGACACGGCCCAGACUCCUACGCGAGGCAGCAGUGGGGAAUAUUGGACAAUGGGCGCAAGCGUGUUCCAGCCAUGCCGCGGUGUUAAGAAAGGCCUUUUUGUUUCCAAAGGAAUUUUUAAGCGGAGGGGGGGGCUACUUGGGAUUAAAACUCCUAGGGAUAGGGGGACGUUCCCUCGCGGAAAUAAGCCCCGGCCUAACCUCUGUUCCCACCGCCCCCGGGUAAAAAAAGGGGGGGGCGAGCCGUUAAACCGAUUUUACUGGGGCCAAAGGCGGGGGAGGGGGGGUUUUUUAAAGCGGAAGGGGAAAACCCCCGGGGCUUAAUUUUGGAAAUUCCCUUCGAAACUGGGGGAAACUUGAGGUUUGGGAAGAGAAGGUAAAAAUUCCAGGUGUAGCGGUGAAAAGGCGAAAAGACCUGGAGGAAAACCCCUUGGCAAAGCCGCCCAUUUGGCCCAAAACUUAUCGCUGAGGGCACAAAAGCAUGGGGGAGAAAACAGAUUUAGAAACCUCUAUAGUCCAGGGGGGAAAUCCCCCAUGGGUUGCCGCCCGGGGGAUCACUAAGUUUCUGAGGCGCCCCCCCCCGGGGGCCCCUAUUCCCCCCAUAGGGAGGGGAAAUUUAGGCGCUCACUGAUAUCGUUUUUAAACAGUCGCGACUUGGAAACCCUGGGAUUACCAAAUUAAUCCCCUUUCAACAAAUCCCCUUUUCUGCGCUGGGCAAAAGUGAAGGGCUCGGAAUAUUAAAGUUGGCCCAGUGCGGUUCCCGUGUA